Molecule: ribosomal RNA, 2070 nt
Filed under: Escherichia coli
Lineage: Bacteria; Pseudomonadati; Pseudomonadota; Gammaproteobacteria; Enterobacterales; Enterobacteriaceae
Description: partial 23S ribosomal RNA
Rfam family: Bacterial large subunit ribosomal RNA
Source: RNAcentral
AGAGGCGAUGAAGGACGUGCUAAUCUGCGAUAAGCGUCGGUAAGGUGAUAUGAACCGUUAUAACCGGCGAUUUCCGAAUGGGGAAACCCAGUGUGAUUCGUCACACUAUCAUUAACUGAAUCCAUAGGUUAAUGAGGCGAACCGGGGGAACUGAAACAUCUAAGUACCCCGAGGAAAAGAAAUCAACCGAGAUUCCCCCAGUAGCGGCGAGCGAACGGGGAGGAGCCCAGAGCCUGAAUCAGUGUGUGUGUUAGUGGAAGCGUCUGGAAAGGCGCGCGAUACAGGGUGACAGCCCCGUACACAAAAAUGCACAUGCUGUGAGCUCGAUGAGUAGGGCGGGACACGUGGUAUCCUGUCUGAAUAUGGGGGGACCAUCCUCCAAGGCUAAAUACUCCUGACUGACCGAUAGUGAACCAGUACCGUGAGGGAAAGGCGAAAAGAACCCCGGCGAGGGGAGUGAAAAAGAACCUGAAACCGUGUACGUACAAGCAGUGGGAGCACAGAGCAAUCUGUGUGACUGCGUACCUUUUGUAUAAUGGGUCAGCGACUUAUAUUCUGUAGCAAGGUUAACCGAAUAGGGGAGCCGAAGGGAAACCGAGUCUUAACUGGGCGUUAAGUUGCAGGGUAUAGACCCGAAACCCGGUGAUCUAGCCAUGGGCAGGUUGAAGGUUGGGUAACACUAACUGGAGGACCGAACCGACUAAUGUUGAAAAAUUAGCGGAUGACUUGUGGCUGGGGGUGAAAGGCCAAUCAAACCGGGAGAUAGCUGGUUCUCCCCGAAAGCUAUUUAGGUAGCGCCUCGUGAAUUCAUCUCCGGGGGUAGAGCACUGUUUCGGCAAGGGGGUCAUCCCGACUUACCAACCCGAUGCAAACUGCGAAUACCGGAGAAUGUUAUCACGGGAGACACACGGCGGGUGCUAACGUCCGUCGUGAAGAGGGAAACAACCCAGACCGCCAGCUAAGGUCCCAAAGUCAUGGUUAAGUGGGAAACGAUGUGGGAAGGCCCAGACAGCCAGGAUGUUGGCUUAGAAGCAGCCAUCAUUUAAAGAAAGCGUAAUAGCUCACUGGUCGAGUCGGCCUGCGCGGAAGAUGUAACGGGGCUAAACCAUGCACCGAAGCUGCGGCAGCGACACUAUGUGUUGUUGGGUAGGGGAGCGUUCUGUAAGCCUGUGAAGGUGUGCUGUGAGGCAUGCUGGAGGUAUCAGAAGUGCGAAUGCUGACAUAAGUAACGAUAAAGCGGGUGAAAAGCCCGCUCGCCGGAAGACCAAGGGUUCCUGUCCAACGUUAAUCGGGGCAGGGUGAGUCGACCCCUAAGGCGAGGCCGAAAGGCGUAGUCGAUGGGAAACAGGUUAAUAUUCCUGUACUUGGUGUUACUGCGAAGGGGGGACGGAGAAGGCUAUGUUGGCCGGGCGACGGUUGUCCCGGUUUAAGCGUGUAGGCUGGUUUUCCAGGCAAAUCCGGAAAAUCAAGGCUGAGGCGUGAUGACGAGGCACUACGGUGCUGAAGCAACAAAUGCCCUGCUUCCAGGAAAAGCCUCUAAGCAUCAGGUAACAUCAAAUCGUACCCCAAACCGACACAGGUGGUCAGGUAGAGAAUACCAAGGCGCUUGAGAGAACUCGGGUGAAGGAACUAGGCAAAAUGGUGCCGUAACUUCGGGAGAAGGCACGCUGAUAUGUAGGUGAAGCGACUUGCUCGUGGAGCUGAAAUCAGUCGAAGAUACCAGCUGGCUGCAACUGUUUAUUAAAAACACAGCACUGUGCAAACACGAAAGUGGACGUAUACGGUGUGACGCCUGCCCGGUGCCGGAAGGUUAAUUGAUGGGGUCAGCGCAAGCGAAGCUCUUGAUCGAAGCCCCGGUAAACGGCGGCCGUAACUAUAACGGUCCUAAGGUAGCGAAAUUCCUUGUCGGGUAAGUUCCGACCUGCACGAAUGGCGUAAUGAUGGCCAGGCUGUCUCCACCCGAGACUCAGUGAAAUUGAACUCGCUGUGAAGAUGCAGUGUACCCGCGGCAAGACGGAAAGACCCCGUGAACCUUUACUAUAGCUUGACACUGAACAUUGAGCCUUGAUG